AUAACUAGUGAAUAAAUCUAAACGAAACGACAGCGAUGCACCCGAAGUUAAAGCUUAGAUAUUACUCGAUAAACGGAACUUACAGAAUCGGUCGGAGAUCGUGUCGAUGCAGCUUUGCCAACCCGUACAAACUCGUAAAAGAAAAAGAUGUAUUGGCGAAGUCGCCGACUUGAAAGUAAAGUACGAUGAAAAAGUAGAUUUGUUUGUAUUGAUUGAUGUGUUGUUUACAAAUCUCUGAAGAUGGCUAUUUAUAGCCUGUUACAACCGAUUUCCUAACCGACUAGGAUCUACCUCUAAUUUUAAAUGAAAAUGAAUAUUUCAAACACAACUCGUAUCGGAGUUGGUUAUUGUACUCCCAAGGGCCAAUCUUUCUCUAUCUUCUUUCUCUGACCUACUUUAAGCCCAUAUUGGCCCAAUCAC
Molecule: long non-coding RNA, 420 nt
Filed under: Setaria viridis
Lineage: Eukaryota; Viridiplantae; Streptophyta; Magnoliopsida; Poales; Poaceae
Description: long non-coding RNA (SVIR_LNC008883)
Source: RNAcentral